AUUCUUUUAGUAUCAAAAAGUACGCCUGACUUCCAAUCAGCCGGUUCCGGAACACCCCGGAAAAGAAUA
This 69-nucleotide transfer RNA is filed under the name Macroderma gigas (Australian ghost bat). RNAcentral's name for it is "tRNA-Gly". Lineage: Eukaryota; Metazoa; Chordata; Mammalia; Chiroptera; Megadermatidae. The record is from RNAcentral.